Molecule: long non-coding RNA, 770 nt
Organism: Trachemys scripta elegans
Lineage: Eukaryota; Metazoa; Chordata; Testudines; Emydidae
Exons: 4
Source: RefSeq, a predicted model, not a curated record
CCUUCUACACAAACCCCCAGUGACCUUUUCUCUGCCUCUAACAAGGAGUGAAUGAUCAAUUCUACACAGAGGAAGAGUUGUGAUCCCUCCGUGUCCUUGAGAGGAUAUUCUCCUUGCCAGGACGUGAAUGCAGGAAGCUCUCUACACUCCCAACGAACCUUUUUAGCUCAUCUGCAUUAGGAGACUUCAGCAUUUUAAGCCGAGAGGGACUGCACUACCGGCUUGGAACUCCAGAGAGGACACAGAGACGGCUAGUGACGAGCAUGGUCAUGCCUACUGCAGCCGCCGUGGCUCCAGAGGAUUGAAACGUCUGAUGAGCCUCACAUGGAAUCGCAACCAGAAGGACAGAGAGGUGGGAAGGAAUCUGGGCUCUGUCUCACCACCUCUGGUGACAGGUCAGAAGGCCACUUCCAAGCUGACAAAACAACACACCUUGCACUUCACCAAAUGCAGGCGAAGCGGCUCUCAGGGGCCCUUCUUGUCCUAUCUGAGCACUUCACACUCUUUGAGGCAUUUGUCCUCGCAAGACCCCAGUGAAGUAGGGAGGUGCUAUUACCACGGGGAACUGAGGCAUGGAGAAGGGAAGCGACUUGCGCAAGGUCAUGCAGGAAGUCUGUGGCAGAAUCAGGACUUGAACCCAAGUCUUCCAAUGCCUAGGCUGAUGGCUUAACCCUGGGCCAUCCUUCCUCUCCAGCCUGAUAAAGCUGUAUGUAUUGUUCAAUAAACAAUAAGACUCAUUCGCUGAAGGAAUAAAAGUGCACAAAGAAAGC